RNAcentral lists this ribosomal RNA (514 nucleotides) under uncultured bacterium. Its description in RNAcentral is "partial 16S ribosomal RNA". It matches the Rfam family "Bacterial small subunit ribosomal RNA", at positions 28 to 523 of the family's 1533-position model. The record is from RNAcentral.
GAUGAACGCUGGCGGCGUGCCUAAUACAUGCAAGUCGAGCGAACAGAUGAGAAGCUUGCUUCUCUGAUGUUAGCGGCGGACGGGUGAGUAACACGUGGGUAACCUACCUAUAAGACUGGGAUAACUCCGGGAAACCGGGGCUAAUACCUGAUAAUAUUUUGAACCGCAUGGUUCAAUAGUGAAAGGCGGCUUCGGCUGUCACUUAGAGAUGGACCCGCGCCGUAUUAGCUAGUUGGUAAGGUAACGGCUUACCAAGGCGACGAUACGUAGCCGACCAGAGAGGGUGAUCGGCCACACUGGAACUGAGACACGGUCCAGACUCCUACGGGAGGCAGCAGUAGGGAAUCUUCCGCAAUGGGCGAAAGCCUGACGGAGCAACGCCGCGUGAGUGAUGAAGGUUUUCGGAUCGUAAAACUCUGUUGUUAGGGAAGAACAAAUUUGUUAGUAACUGAACAAGUCUUGACGGUACCUAACCAGAAAGCCACGGCUAACUACGUGCCAGCAGCCGCAGUAA